This 253-nucleotide ribosomal RNA is filed under the name uncultured bacterium. Its description in RNAcentral is "partial 16S ribosomal RNA". It matches the Rfam family "Bacterial small subunit ribosomal RNA", at positions 524 to 776 of the family's 1533-position model. The record is from RNAcentral.
UACGGAGGGAGCUAGCGUUGUUCGGAAUUACUGGGCGUAAAGCGCGCGUAGGCGGCUUUGUAAGUUAGAGGUGAAAGCCCGGAGCUCAACUCCGGAACUGCCUUUAAAACUGCAUCGCUUGAAUCCAGGAGAGGUGAGUGGAAUUCCGAGUGUAGAGGUGAAAUUCGUAGAUAUUCGCAGGAACACCAGUGGCGAAGGCGACUUGCUGGAUCUUUGCUGACGCUGAGACGCGAAAGCGUGGGGAGCAAACAGG